This 87-nucleotide microRNA precursor is filed under the name Phlebotomus papatasi. RNAcentral describes it as "microRNA mir-988". Lineage: Eukaryota; Metazoa; Arthropoda; Insecta; Diptera; Psychodidae. The record is from RNAcentral.
GCCCGGUGGGGGAUUUUUGUGUCAAAAUGGCGGUUUCGAAAUAAAAUUUUUAUUUCGAAACCGCCAUUUUGACACAAAAAUCCCUCA